This 253-nucleotide ribosomal RNA is filed under the name uncultured bacterium. RNAcentral describes it as "partial 16S ribosomal RNA". It matches the Rfam family "Bacterial small subunit ribosomal RNA", at positions 524 to 776 of the family's 1533-position model. The record is from RNAcentral.
UACGUAGGGUGCGAGCGUUAAUCGGAAUUACUGGGCGUAAAGUGUGCGCAGGCGGCAGAGCAAGUCGAGUGUGAAAGCCCCGGGCUUAACUUGGGAAUGGCAUUUGGGACUGCAAGGCUGGAGUCUGGCAGAGGAGACUGGAAUUCCUGGUGUAGCGGUGAAAUGCGCAGAUAUCAGGAGGAACACCGGUGGCGAAGGCGGGUCUCUGGGCAACAACUGACGCUGAGGAGCGAAAGCGUGGGGAGCGAACAGG